Molecule: ribosomal RNA, 253 nt
Filed under: uncultured bacterium
Lineage: Bacteria
Description: partial 16S ribosomal RNA
Rfam family: Bacterial small subunit ribosomal RNA
Source: RNAcentral
UACGGGGGGGGCAAGCGUUGUUCGGAAUUACUGGGCGUAAAGGGCGCGUAGGCGGCCCUCUAAGUCGAACGUGAAAUCCCCGGGCUCAACCCGGGAACUGCGUGUGAUACUGGAUGGCUUGGAUUUGGGAGAGGGAUGCGGAAUUCCAGGUGUAGCGGUGAAAUGCGUAGAUAUCUGGAGGAGCACCGGUGGCGAAGGCGGCAUCCUGGACCAAUAUUGACGCUGAGGAGCGAAAGCUAGGGGAGCAAACGGG